RNAcentral lists this ribosomal RNA (472 nucleotides) under uncultured bacterium. Its description in RNAcentral is "bacterial SSU rRNA". It matches the Rfam family "Bacterial small subunit ribosomal RNA", at positions 335 to 799 of the family's 1533-position model. The record is from RNAcentral.
ACUCCUACGGGAGGCAGCAGUAGGGAAUUUUCCGCAAUGGACGAAAGUCUGACGGAGCAAUGCCGCGUGAGUGAUGAAGGUUUUCGAAUCGUAAAGCUCUGUUGUAAGGGAAGAAUAGCAAGAAUAGGAAAUGAUUCUUGUCUGACGGUACCUUACCAGAAAGCCACGGCUAACUCCGUGCCAGCAGCCGCGGUAAUACGGAGGGUGCGAGCGUUAAUCGGAAUUACUGGGCGUAAAGCGCGUGUAGGUGGCUUGUUAAGCCAGAUGUGAAAGCCCCGGGCUCAACCUGGGAACUGCAUUUGGAACUGGCAGGCUAGAGUUUUGUAGAGGGUGGUAGAAUUUCAGGUGUAGCGGUGAAAUGCGUAGAGAUCUGAAGGAAUACCGGUGGCGAAGGCGACCACCUGGCCAAUAACUGACACUGAGACGCGAAGGCGUGGGUAGCAAACGGGAUUAGAUACCCUGGUAGGCUCUG